AGAGUUUGAUCCUGGCUCAGGAUGAACGCUGACAGAAUGCUUAACACAUGCAAGUCAACUUGAACUUCGGUUUGGGUGGCGGACGGGUGAGUAACGCGUAAAGAACUUGCCUCACAGAUAGGGACAACAUUUGGAAACGAAUGCUAAUACCUGAUAUUAUGAUUUUAGGGCAUCUUAGGAUUAUGAAAGCUAUAUGCGCUGUGAGAGAGCUUUGCGUCCCAUUAGCUAGUUGGAGAGGUAACGGCUCACCAAGGCGAUGAUGGGUAGCCGGCCUGAGAGGGUGAUCGGCCACAAGGGGACUGAGACACGGCCCUCACUCCUACGGGAGGCAGCAGUGGGGAAUAUUGGACAAUGGACCAAGAGUCUGAUCCAGCAAUUCUGUGUGCACGAUGAAGUUUUUCGGAAUGUAAAGUGCUUUCAGUUGGGAAGAAAAAAUGACGGUACCAACAGAAGAAGUGACGGCUAAAUACGUG
Molecule: ribosomal RNA, 473 nt
Filed under: uncultured Fusobacterium sp.
Lineage: Bacteria; Fusobacteriati; Fusobacteriota; Fusobacteriia; Fusobacteriales; Fusobacteriaceae
Description: bacterial SSU rRNA
Rfam family: Bacterial small subunit ribosomal RNA
Source: RNAcentral